CCCUUAGAUGUUCUGGGCCGCACGCGCGCUACACUGACGAAUGCAACGAGCUUAUAACCUUGGCCGAAAGGUCUGGGUAAUCUCCAAAUUUCGUCGUGAUGGGGAUAGAGUAUUGCAAUUAUUAAUCUUCAACGAGGAAUGCCUAGUAAGCGCAAGUCAUCAGCUUGCGUUGAUUACGUCCCUGCCCUUUGUACACACCGCCCGUCGCUCCUACCGAUUGAAUGGUCCGGUGAAGCGUUCGGACCGUGGCCUUUGGACGGUUCGCCGUCUGUUGGCUGCGGGAAGUUCGUUAAACCUUAUCAUUUAGAGGAAGGAGAAGUCGUANCA
RNAcentral lists this ribosomal RNA (327 nucleotides) under uncultured eukaryote. Its description in RNAcentral is "partial 18S ribosomal RNA". It matches the Rfam family "Eukaryotic small subunit ribosomal RNA", at positions 1470 to 1796 of the family's 1831-position model. The record is from RNAcentral.